AUUGAACGCUGGCGGCAUGCCUUACACAUGCAAGUCGAACGGUAACAGGUUAAGCUGACGAGUGGCGAACGGGUGAGUAAUGUAUCGGAACGUGCCCAGUCGUGGGGGAUAACUGCUCGAAAGAGCAGCUAAUACCGCAUACGACCUGAGGGUGAAAGCGGGGGAUCGCAAGACCUCGCGCGAUUGGAGCGGCCGAUAUCAGAUUAGGUAGUUGGUGGGGUAAAGGCCUACCAAGCCUACGAUCUGUAGCUGGUCUGAGAGGACGACCAGCCACACUGGGACUGAGACACGGCCCCAGACUCCUACGGGAGGCAGCAGUGGGGGAAUUUUGGACAAUGGACGCAAGUCUGAUCCAGCCAUGCCGCGUGCGGGGAAGAAGGGCCUUCGGGUUGUAACCGAC
Molecule: ribosomal RNA, 400 nt
Filed under: uncultured bacterium
Lineage: Bacteria
Description: bacterial SSU rRNA
Rfam family: Bacterial small subunit ribosomal RNA
Source: RNAcentral